UCUCCUCUUUAAAAGACAUCCUAGUGCAUGGUUCACCUAAACUAUAUACAACCAACUACUAAAUUUCUUCAUAUCUCUCUAAAAAAUAUGUUGGUGUUCAUCCUCGUUCAAAUGCAGAUAGGCCACAUUCAUCAAUUCCGAGUUAAUCUGCACCGCAUCUAUAUGACGCUUGGCUUACUAGUAGAUUUAUUUAUUGUUUUUAAAAAUAGUUCUUUGUAUGUGUCUUUGUUAAUGCAUUCAUCACUUUUUUUUUGAAUUGUAGUGGCUGCCACUAAGCGUCAAUGACUAUUUCCCCCCAAGACCGACACCGAUUAAGAUCAUUCAUUCAAUUUUCGAGGUGUAUCUAGCUCAGGUUGGUCCUUGCAAUGUCAAUAACCAUCUCAGGAUCAACAACAGAUGGAGAAAAUUUACCAGGGCUAUAAAUUUUAUAGAAAGAGAUGUUUUACAUAUGUUACUCGUACAUAGUUGUGAAAACUGUAUUAAAAUUGUUAUUCUUAAUCAGGACCUGCACCUACAAAAUCUUAUUGCAAGCACAGAACCUUUCCUGUUUUUUGAUCAGAUAUUACUAAUACUUUGUUGUUUUGGUUUAUUUUUAUAAAUAUAUUCAAUUGUUUAUGUUCAACGGAUUUAUUCAACUUUAUUUAUUUUGAUGCUUCCACA
RNAcentral lists this long non-coding RNA (660 nucleotides) under Capsicum annuum. Its description in RNAcentral is "long non-coding RNA (CANN_LNC011492)". Lineage: Eukaryota; Viridiplantae; Streptophyta; Magnoliopsida; Solanales; Solanaceae. The record is from RNAcentral.